This 1525-nucleotide ribosomal RNA is filed under the name uncultured Bordetella sp. Its description in RNAcentral is "partial 16S-23S ribosomal RNA intergenic spacer". It matches the Rfam family "Bacterial small subunit ribosomal RNA". Lineage: Bacteria; Pseudomonadati; Pseudomonadota; Betaproteobacteria; Burkholderiales; Alcaligenaceae. The record is from RNAcentral.
CGAUCACUGAAGCUUAAAGAUUGAACGCUGGCGGGAUGCUACACAUGCAAGUCAGACGGCCGCCUGGACUUCGGUCUGAGUGGCAUUGGCAGAACGAUUUCGAUGUUAUGUCGGGCUUGUUCCUGCCUAAUGCUGGGGAUAACUCUGCUGGCGCAAAGCUCAAUACCGCUAUAACACACUUCAAGGGAAAGCGGGGGGACCUUCGGGCCUCGCACUAUUAGAGCGGCCGAUAUCAGUUAAGCUAGUUGGUGGGGUAACGGCUCACCAAGGCGGCCUGAUCCAUGCUUUGGUUUGAAGGACAUUAAUACCCACCGGACCGAAGUUUGGCUGGAAGAAAGCUCUCUUUGCAGGCGGUAGCGGUGAAGUUACCGGACCGUGAAGCCUGGUCAAGCGCAUCCGCGUAUUCAUUCAGAAGGCCGCUGGUUUGUAAAGCACUUUUGGCAAGGAAAAACUGGCACAGGAUAUGCCCAGUGCAGCUGGCUGGUACCUGCAGAAUAACAUUCGCUUUACGUGCCAGCAACCGCGGUAAUACGUAGGGUGCAAGCGUUAAUCGAAUUACUGGGCAUCAAAGCAGUACUGCGAGCGGUUCAGAAAAAUUCAUGGGAAAUCAGAGCUUGCUUUGGAACUGCAUUUUUAACUACCGAGCUAGAGUGUGUCAGAGGAGGUGGAAUUCCGCGUGUAAGCAGUGAAAUGCGUAGAUAUGCGGAGGAACACCGAUGGCGAAGAGGCAGCCUCCUGGGAUAACACUGGCGCUCAUGCACGAAAGCGAUGGGAGCAAACAGGAUUAGAUACCCUGGUAGUCCACGCCCUAAACGAUGUCAACUAGCUCUUUGGGGCGCGCUGCGCCGGUACGCGCAGCUAACGCGUGAGAUUGACCGCGGGAAAUACGGUCGCAAGAUUAAAACUCAAAGGAAUUGACAGGGACCCGCACAAGCGGUGGAUGAUCAUCAAGUUAAUUCGAUGCAACGCGAAAAACCUUACCUACCCUUGACAUGUCUGGAAUCCCGAAGAGAUUUGGGAGUGCUCAUAAAGAGAAACCGGAACACAGGAAUUACCGCGCACGUAAGCGCUCGAUAAUCGUGUCGUGAAGAUGUUGAGUUAGUCCGCAACGGCUUUCAGCUGCCAUCCGCUGGUUUCUUUACGAAGGGCACUCUAAUGAGACUGCCGGUGACAAACCGGAGGAAGGUGGGGAUGACGUCAAGUCCUCAUGGCCCUUAUGGUGGGGCUUCACGUCAUACAAUGGUCGGGACAGAGGGUCGCCAACCCGCGAGGAAUGCGUCGAAGCUGAAGGUCGCUGGUCAAGGAUCUGCAGUCUUCACCCAGCUCCGGCUGCAUUAAAGUCAGAAUCUGCUAAGUAAUAUCACUGGCGGAUCAGCAUAUCCAGGUGAAUACGGUCCCGGGUCUUGUACCACACCGCCCGUCACACCAUGGGAAUUGGGUUUUGCAAGAAGUAGUUAGCCUAACCGUAUGGAGGGCGAUUACCGCAGUAGGAUUCAUGAUUGGGGUGCAGUCGUAACUAAGGUAA